This 292-nucleotide ribosomal RNA is filed under the name uncultured bacterium. RNAcentral describes it as "partial 16S ribosomal RNA". It matches the Rfam family "Bacterial small subunit ribosomal RNA", at positions 505 to 796 of the family's 1533-position model. The record is from RNAcentral.
GUGCCAGCCGCCGCGGUAAUACGUAGGGGGCAAGCGUUGUCCGGAAUCAUUGGGCGUAAAGCGCGUGUAGGCGGCUGGCUAAGUCCGCUCUGAAAGCCCGGGGCUCAACCCCGGGAGGCGGGUGGAUACUGGUCAGCUCGAGUCCGGAAGAGGAGUGUGGAAUUCCUGGUGUAGCGGUGAAAUGCGCAGAUAUCAGGAGGAACACCAAUGGCGAAGGCAGCACUCUGGGACGGUACUGACGCUGAGACGCGAAAGCGUGGGGAGCAAACAGGAUUAGAAACCCCCGUAGUCC